Molecule: long non-coding RNA, 2077 nt
Filed under: Gallus gallus (chicken)
Lineage: Eukaryota; Metazoa; Chordata; Aves; Galliformes; Phasianidae
Description: lncRNA (ENSGALG00010025079.1)
Source: RNAcentral
ACAGCUAGAAACAGAUAGGUCAGCUUCUCCCAUCACCUCUGUUAGCAGAUCUGAUUCGUAGGGGAAGCCCAGCUGGAGCCAAAGCUCCUCUCAGUGCUCAAAAACUCUCCAUCCCAUUGCCCGUGGUGGGCUCCAAGGGAACUGGGCUGAAGUCAGCUUUUUGCACAGCAACUUUGAGAAGGCAGCUUGGGAUAAAUGGCAGCUGGAGCUGCCGUGGUGACAUGAUGGGAGUAAUGAUACCAGCCUGCUCGGUGCCCACCUUCACUCAGCACCAAGCAAUUCUCCUUUGCCUCCAUUAAAUUUAAGAUUGUAAAUGAAGAAAAAUGAACUCUGCUUUCCAGGUUCCUGGAGAUGGAUGGCAACGCAUUCAGGCUGGCAUUUAGCUAUUUCAGUUGUUUACAAUGGAUGCCUCUUAUAAAUACCCCGUUUCUGAUUGAGAAGUCUUUUCUAAAGGUUUGCUUAAUUUUUCACUUCAAAGUCAAUCUUUAAAAACCUCUCUGCCAUUAUCGAGCCUGCAAUGGUUUCAUCCUAAUCCCUCUCAUGCUCUCCAUUCUUAUCCUUUGCUGAGAAGAAAUGAUUAGAAAAAAAAGAAUUCUGACACAGAACUCGGAUCCAGUGCUGAAAGAUAAGCAGUUCCAAAAGGAAAUGAUGAAUUUCAAUUUCAAGCAUUGGUUAAUAUCGCAGUUCUCGUAGAUAUUUCCCUACUAUAGAUUGAACAAAGUAUAUUAGCUAAAAGGGCUUCUCCUGAAGUCGUGUUGCACGCUUUUCUAAGGCUCCCUCACUCUGAAUUUCGCCCUUAUAAGUAUUGUCUCUCUAUGGAAAUGAACAUCUUUGUGAUUUAAGUUAAAUCAAAAGCAGGCCUUGAAAAUUUCCAGUGGAUGAGAAAGCUGCAGGUGAACUUAGGUUGAAGGUUCCAACCUGGGUGUCUGAUGACUGUUCUAAUGAUCUGCCUGCUUUACCAGCUAGCAUUCGGACUUCUCAUAGCUGUACUCACAGCAAGAUUGAAUGAGGAUGCACGAGUGGUCCUGGGCACUUAACUCUGCAAACUCAACAGCCUUUCAGUGCAGUUCCCAUCAAAGUAGGUUUGUAUUACCUGGAAAGAUUUGUCCGGGGGUUCGGUCGGAACUCUCUGGUCUAAUGCAGUGAACUGACCCAGGACAAUUUGGGUGGGAAUGCACUUGGGGAGUUUUGCUUGGUCAGCAUCUGCAGCUGGAGGUCCUUGAAUCAAGAAUCAUAGAAAACUAUGUGAGCAAAACUGAGAUGCAGUUUAACAGAUAGAUUUUAAGGUUAGUCAGAUGGAGAAAGGUGCUGCCUGUUUACACUGUGGCCAUUUCAAUCUAUUUUUAAGGUGAAAAAAUAGCAUCUGUGGCAGCAUGCAGUCCCAACACACAGCCAUGAGCUGUGCAUGCAGAACAGGACGCAUUGAUUAACACAAAGAAUUGAAUGCACUGGGAAUGCUAACCCUAGAAUUGGAGGUCCCGGGGUCUCCCAGGGGUUCCCUUCUCCCUCUCUCCAUUACCUGCUGGACAUUAACCUGGAAUUAAUGCCUGCAAAUAGCCAGUGGACAAACCCAGUGCUGCUGGACUGCUUAUGUGCUGCUCAAUAGAGAAACAGCCACAGGGACAAGUGGAGUCCCCCUUGGUCCUGUUCAGGUGGCAGCAGAGCUCUGCCCAAACCACUGUCACCUGUCCAGUGACACCACUGGAAUCAUUUCUAUGGGAUCAUGCCCUGCUGCCACUUUAUUUGUGGCUCUGACCAUGAAGACACUUCCAUCAAGCCACGUUCAGAAGAGCUGUGCCAAUGGGGGUUGAAUAUCAGUGAUCAGGACAUCCAGCCUUGGCUAUGGAAGAUUAAGUUCCAAGUCCCCAAAUCAAUAAGGGCUUUAUAUCUGCCACAUGGAGCUGCUUCAGCAGGAGAUAUGGGAAGAGAUGAUUCCCGUGUCCUUCUUGAUCAAGAUAGCACAUCCCCAAUUCUGAUCAAACUUCAUCCCAAAGUUAUCUUUUCUCAAACGAAUUGUCAGAAUAACCCAUUUCCAUCAUUUGGAUGAAUCCUAAACAUCUGAUUUUUAGAAGGCGUC